This 483-nucleotide ribosomal RNA is filed under the name uncultured bacterium. RNAcentral describes it as "bacterial SSU rRNA". It matches the Rfam family "Bacterial small subunit ribosomal RNA", at positions 28 to 369 of the family's 1533-position model. The record is from RNAcentral.
GACGAACGCUGGCGGCGUGCCUAACACAUGCAAGUCGAGCGGUCCUGCAUUCAACAUUGAGUAUUCAGCAGGCGUUGGAGAUGUAACCAGCGUCAAGCAGAAACGACUAUAUAUUAUAAUUUUUUGAAGUUUCUGCUUCACGCCAAAUCAAGUGCCAACACAAAGGGAGCUGAGUAUUGAAUGUUGAAUGCAGGAUAGCGGCGGACGGGUGAGUAACGCGUGGGCAACCUGCCUCAUACAGGGGGAUAACACAGGGAAACUUGUGCUAAUACCGCACUAAUAUCAAUUGGGUGGCAUCACCUGAUGAUCAAAGGAGAAAUCCGGUAAUGAGAUGGGCCCGCGUCCGAGUUAGUUAGUUGGUAGAGGUAACGGCUCACCAAGGCGACGAUCGGUAGCCGAACUGAGGAGGUUGAGUCGGCCACGAUUGGGACUGAGACACGGCCCAGACUCCGUACGGGAGGCAGCAGGUGGGGAAUAGUUGCG